ACCCCUGCUAGCACCACCCAUUGCUAUCUACUAUCACACUGCUCAUGGAGGAGAGAAAAGCUAAUAUACCACAUUCAUGCAACAGAAAGUUGAAUGAAACCUUUGAACACAGAUCUAAUAUUCAUCUUCAGAAAUAUCUUUUAAAAGAAAGAGGAAAAAAACCCUGACACAAUAUCACCAGUCAAAACUUGUUAAAUAAUUUUAUUGACUCAUUUGAUAGGAUUGUUUGCAAUAAAACCUGAACUCAAUAGAAUAUUUGUAGAUUUUUUUUCUCUCCAUUGGACAGCUUAUUUGUCCUCUCUGUGAAAUGGCAGAAUGGUGUCUGUCUUAAAUAAUAAGGCCCAGAAGUCCUCCAACAUUCCAGCUGGAGGCCUGGUGGCAACCUUACAGUCUAUUGGUAUGACAGGAUUAGGAUGGUUUGGAACUGGAACAGUGGCUGGUAUUGGAAGUAUAGUAGGGUUGAUGAUAUCAAGCAUUUGUAAUGUAACUGUAAAAAUAGAAGGCAGUCCAUAGCACAGACAAGGAAUAUACUUUUCAUUCCAGUAGAGUUAAAGUCAUGCUGUUCUUAUAUAAUAUAAUCAUGUCUUAAAGAGUAGAUUCUGAAAUUCAAACAUGUAUAAUCUGAUUAAGAAUGAAAGAAACAUUAUUUUUUUGCUGUGAACAUGUCUUGUUAAAGGUCAUUGUGAUGUGUGGAUAUUGCUGCAGGCAUUUUCUAAAUUUUGAGGGAAUGCUAUUUCUACUCUUCAUUCUGAGAGAGCAGAAUAAAGAAAACUUUGUACGUGUGUGCAUCAGUUGUAAAACUUCAACCUGUACUCAAUAAAUAAAUAAGUAAAUAAUAUAUCAAUCAAUAAAGAAAAAGUGUUUUAAUAUAUUGUGGUAUUUGUUUUGUCUUUGCUGAUACAUUUGGGGAAAUAAUUGGGACCCAGGAAACAUUAGACCCUUAAGAGUCAUGUUGCUAAGUCUUGUACUUUUCAGGACAUAGUGGUUACCUUACAAACCUUUCCAAGUAUGUCUCCAUUGUUUAUGAAAUUUAAUGGGUACAAACGUUCAUGUAACUUAUUAAAUACUAAGUAUUUUUCAUAAUAAAGCCUGGCUCUGGAGUAUAUUUAGAAAGUUCCAAAAAAAAAAGAUAUCCAUUAAGUUUUUUAAAAGUUCCAAAAAAAUACCAUCUAAGUUCUCCAGGAAAGUACCUGGAAUGCUGCAAUAUGUAACAUGGAAGAUCCUCUUAAGUCUAAAGUAGCUAGGUCCCAGUAAGGUUGCAGAAAUGAACCAUUAAGAGUUGAGGUAAAAUAUAGAUUGUUCACUUAUGCUGAAGUGUUGGCACCUAACAAUUGUUGUAAACCUAUGUACCCCUGCUGGUUGUAUGUGACCAUCACAUCCAACCAGUUACUAAUAUGCAGAAGAAACUAAGAUGUGCAAUAGCCUGAACCUGAUAAAAAGUAUUUAUUCCUAUUGUGCUGCAGAUGCUUCAUAAACAUACAAUUAUUUUUUUGUGGCUCACUUCUUGUUGAAAUGAUUUAAAAGAGCCAGUGAAGGUCCAACCAAUCCAGUAUGCAGAGAAAAAGCAGACAUGUCAAUGCAAAAGAGCUAAAAGUAGUUAAUUAUAUGUGUUAUAUUUUAUUGUUG
Molecule: long non-coding RNA, 1626 nt
Organism: Xiphophorus couchianus (Monterrey platyfish)
Lineage: Eukaryota; Metazoa; Chordata; Actinopteri; Cyprinodontiformes; Poeciliidae
Exons: 3
Source: RefSeq, a predicted model, not a curated record